This 1288-nucleotide long non-coding RNA is filed under the name Corvus moneduloides (New Caledonian crow). RNAcentral describes it as "lncRNA (ENSCMUG00000019167.1)". Lineage: Eukaryota; Metazoa; Chordata; Aves; Passeriformes; Corvidae. The record is from RNAcentral.
CAGAUGUACAGAGGAAAGGUAAUUCCCAGUUUCAGUCCUUUGAAGGGGAGAGCGUAAGCAGUACUUUCACGGUGAUUGCUACCUACUGUCUUUUCUGACCUCAUCUCUAGCCAGAGGCUUGGGAGGGCACAAAUGACUCCCAGACACAAAACUCUUGAAUUGCAAGAUGUGAGAUUAACACCCAAGACUGCCAUUUACCAAAUAACCCAUGAGGGGGAGCAGCUAUAGGCAUUAAUAUGUGGGGCACAAACCCAAAUAUUUGGAAUUUCAGCAGCCAGGACGCCUCCUGCUGUGGAGUGGACCACAUGACCCACUGUGACCCUUCCAACCUUACCCAUUCUGUGGUUCUGUGAUUCUGUGAAUGAACAUGGCAGUGCAAGUGGUAAUAUGGCAGGACCAGCAGCAGUGCUGAUAAAAUUGUUAGUGACUGAAAGAGUGAUCUUGCUGUCCUUGGAAACACUGCCCCUGACUUGGGGAAGCCAGAAAUUCUGUGUGCUGAUUGGACUCUUCUGUACCUCUCUUGCUCCUCAUGAUGUUCUCAGAUAAAAGUAAUUGAUUACCAAGGCAAGGCACUGAAGAACAAAGAAGUCCUCCUCUUAGUAAACUGUGGUGAGCACCAAUUUAGGCAGAAGUACAUCACUGGGGACUCUGGGACAGCUUCAUUUAGCCUGGACACAUCUGCCUGGAAUAGAACCUUGGCCUCUCUGGAGGUAAGUGAGGAAGGGUGUGUCUUGUGGCAAGGGUACGCGUGCGUGUCAGAGCCAUCUACUGUCCCACAGACAUCUUCCUUGUUCCUUCCUGAGGGACAGUAACUCAAACCUAAAACACCUCAGCAUGUCCUGGAUCUUGUCUCCCUCUGAGAGCUCAUUCUCCAGGUCCCAGUUGCUUUCCUCAUGAGCCCUCCGUGUUGUUCACAUCAUCGUACCAAGGUGAUUUGCAGCUGACUUGCUUAACUAGAGAAAUUAACUGGUUUGGUUUUUUUGUCUCACCAGGCAAGUGUCCUACAUCAAGAUUCGGAUAGAGAGCCUGGGACAGUUGAUUUAAGUUACCAGAGAGCCUCUUUUUUCAUACGUCCAUUCUACAGCACCAGCAGGAGCUUCCUCUCUAUCGCCCGUGUGCCAGAAACGAUGCCCUGUGGCAAAAAGCAGUCUGUCCAGGUGGACUUCAGAAUUUAUGAGGAAGACCUGGAACAUGGGCCCAAGCGUGUCAUAUUCUCCUACUUUGUCACAGGGAAAAGAGGGAUAGUCCACGCAGGUCAGCAGACUGUUUGGGCUGGGCCGCCACAGCG